This 1212-nucleotide long non-coding RNA is filed under the name Heterocephalus glaber (naked mole-rat). RNAcentral's name for it is "lncRNA (ENSHGLG00000031865.1)". Lineage: Eukaryota; Metazoa; Chordata; Mammalia; Rodentia; Bathyergidae. The record is from RNAcentral.
GGCUGCCAGUCCAUUGCUCAUCAGGCCCUCUCUGGGCUUACUUUGUGGUUUUGGAGUCAGUUUCACUCCUGAGGAGCCAGGCUUGGCGUGGCCUACUGUUUUGUGCAUUUCUCUGAGUUGCCUUUCUGUUUCUCUGUGCUUUAUAGCUUUCCUGUCACCUCUUUCCUGAUUCUUGGAGCUCUUGCUCUCUUCCUGUCCUUGCGGUAUAGUUUCCCUUUCUAACUCCUAGCUUUCCGCUCACAGCAUACAGGACAUUCUUCAUUGGCUAGAAAUGAUGUCUUUGACAAAUAGCGUGCAGAUUUGACUUUGGUAAUUCAAGACACUUUUGUUUGUUUGCUCGUUUUGUUGCUGUGUUGGGGAGGGAACUCAGGGCCUCUCACAUACCAGGGAAUUGCUCUGCCACUGAGCUACACACCCCAGCCCCAGGUUUUAGUUUUAAUGUACAGCACUAGGGAGCUUGCUAUGGAUGAAGCCCUGUACGACGUCUGUUAGUAAAGCAAGAAAGCCUUCAAAAUCAUAUAAUUACUUGCUACCCACCUCCCAAUUUCUAAUUACUACAUAUAAUAUAAUAUAAUAUAAUAUCAGAUGGCCUUGACUCAAGGCUUACCUGAACAUGGGCCACUUCAUUGUCUAUUCUUUGCAGCCUUUUGUAAAAGAAAUCGCACAUCCUAAGUUCGAAGCCUGGACCUGGCCAACAUCUCAGCAAGAUGAAAGCCUUGGCCCUUACAAAUGGCUUUUGUCUCAGCCUCGAAACCCUCAUGUGACACCCUGAGAUCGCACCUGACUGACCAUCUCAAAAAAGAACCAGAACAAUCUCCUUGUGCUUUCCCUGAGCUGGUGAAGCUGGUAAAAAUCACUGAAAAUGAGGAAAGUAAAUUAACACAAGGAAGAAGCAGGACAAGGGGGAUUCUGUCCUCCUGACUACUGAGUUAACUGCAAUGAAAACAAAGUACAAAGGACUGCUAGUUCUGUGCAUAUAUUUACAUAGAAAUGUGCAAUUUUUUUUAAAAGGGGCCUUCCUGGUGUUUCUUUACUUAUGGGUUUAAUUUUUUAUCUCCUCAAUGUCCACCAGGAGGGCUCUGUUAAUAUUUACGUCGUGGGCCUUCCUGAGGAUGAGUUCAUUUCAGUCAUUGCUAAUCAACAGCCUUACUAUGAUGUCUUCUUUAUCCUGUAACAUUCCUAUUAUCCCUAACUCUUCAAAAAUACUCUUAG